This 464-nucleotide ribosomal RNA is filed under the name uncultured bacterium. RNAcentral's name for it is "bacterial SSU rRNA". It matches the Rfam family "Bacterial small subunit ribosomal RNA", at positions 331 to 793 of the family's 1533-position model. The record is from RNAcentral.
CCAGACUCCUACGGGAGGCAGCAGUGAGGAAUAUUGGUCAAUGGCCGAGAGGCUGAACCAGCCAAGUCGCGUGAGGGAGGACGGCCCUACGGGUUGUAAACCUCUUUUGCCGGGGGACAAACGGCGGCACGCGUGCCGUCCUGAGGGUACCCGGAGAAAAAGCAUCGGCUAACUCCGUGCCAGCAGCCGCGGUAAUACGGAGGAUGCGAGCGUUAUCCGGAUUUAUUGGGUUUAAAGGGUGCGCAGGCGGAAUGUCAAGUCAGCGGUAAAAUUUCGGGGCUCAACCCCGUCGUGCCGUUGAAACUGGCGUUCUUGAGUGAGCGAGAAGUAUGCGGAAUGCGUGGUGUAGCGGUGAAAUGCAUAGAUAUCACGCAGAACUCCGAUUGCGAAGGCAGCAUACCGGCGCUCAACUGACGCUCAUGCACGAAAGCGUGGGUAUCGAACAGGAUUAGAUACCCCAGUAU